UGUUGGGGUAGUCCUUCUUGUAGCUCACAGAGUUCUUAGCUUGCUAAGACUGAUAAUUACUUCUCUCUAGUAGAGAAUAGAGCAACUUCUGUCACAAUGGGAGCGUGGCAAUAAGAAUGACCUGUAGGCGAGUAUCAGCAUCACACUUUCCUUGUCCUGUGACUCAACUCUAAGAUAUCUUCAGCAAUAUAUUUUUACCAACACGUUCUGUAAAGUAACCACUAUUGUUUGAGAAUCAUCAGUUUCUAACAUACUGAGAAUGGCCACAGAAAUGAGAAAGUGGGAAUUGUUGUUGGAAAGUUAUUACAGGCCAUCCCAGAAUGGAGAAUUUUACUGGAGCACAUCUGUUUCCUUAAUUUGCAAAAGUAAGACUAUUACCAAUUCAGCUGCCUAAUAACAGAUUUGUGGCCAGCCUGAAGGAGAUAGAAGAGUUACGGACAUUUUGUAAACAUCUGUUUCCAGUGGCAUGUACAUUAUUUUUUCCCUUCCAUUACGAGUCAUA
This 502-nucleotide long non-coding RNA is filed under the name Mus spicilegus (steppe mouse). RNAcentral's name for it is "lncRNA (ENSMSIG00000023858.1)". The record is from RNAcentral. Lineage: Eukaryota; Metazoa; Chordata; Mammalia; Rodentia; Muridae.